GUUGUGGCGGAGUGGUUAUCGCGCAAGACUAGAAAUCUUGUUCCUUCGGGAGCGUAGGUUCGAAUCCUGCCAAC
RNAcentral lists this transfer RNA (74 nucleotides) under Didymella glomerata. RNAcentral's name for it is "tRNA-Ser". It matches the Rfam family "tRNA". Rfam says of the family: Transfer RNA (tRNA) molecules are approximately 80 nucleotides in length. Their secondary structure includes four short double-helical elements and three loops (D, anti-codon, and T loops). The record is from RNAcentral. Lineage: Eukaryota; Fungi; Ascomycota; Dothideomycetes; Pleosporales; Didymellaceae.